Molecule: ribosomal RNA, 484 nt
Filed under: uncultured bacterium
Lineage: Bacteria
Description: partial 16S ribosomal RNA
Rfam family: Bacterial small subunit ribosomal RNA
Source: RNAcentral
AUUGAACGCUGGCGGCAUGCUUUACACAUGCAAGUCGAACGGCAGCGCGGGCUUCGGCCUGGCGGCGAGUGGCGAACGGGUGAGUAAUGCAUCGGAACGUGCCCAGUAGUGGGGGAUAGCCCGGCGAAAGCCGGAUUAAUACCGCAUACGACCUGAGGGUGAAAGCGGGGGACCGAAAGGCCUCGCGCUCUUGGAGCGGCCGAUGUCGGAUUAGCUAGUUGGUGGGGUAAAGGCUUACCAAGGCGACGAUCCGUAGCUGGUCUGAGAGGACGACCAGCCACACUGGGACUGAGACACGGCCCAGACUCCUACGGGAGGCAGCAGUGGGGAAUUUUGGACAAUGGGGGCAACCCUGAUCCAGCCAUGCCGCGUGCGGGAAGAAGGCCUUCGGGUUGUAAAGCGCUUUUGUUCGGGAAGAAAUCCUCUGGGCUAAUACCCCGGGGGGAUGACGGUACCGGAAGAAUAAGCACCGGCUAACUACGUG